AAAAUAACAUAUCAAAUCUGAUCUCACUUCUCUAUAUUCCUCGUUUACAUUGAAAGCAGCUGCCUUUCCCAGUUUCCCUUUUGUAUAUCCACUUCUUUCGUCGAAUCCUAGUGGGCUAUAUAUUCUAGAGUGGCAGUUUCAGGUUUCAAAUAGUAUCAAGUAUCAAUCAUUAUAUCUCUUGGAUUUCAGAGUUUCAAACAUGAACAGACCUCCAAAGUACGCUACUCCAUACCCUGCCCAAGGUUAUUAUCAGGGUCCUCCUCCCCCAGUGAUGCCACCCCCAACAUAUGCUGUUCCUCCACCUCGUAAAAACAGAGGUUUUCUUAAGGGAUGUUUGGCAGCGUUGUGUUGUUGUUGCUUCCUAGAUGAGUGUUGCUGUGAUCCCUCUGACAUCUUCCUGUUCUAAGAUGCAGUCAUGGGGUUAAUUAGCCCUUUUAUAUUAUUUUGUUUUGGCUGUGGUCAAAUAAGAUUUUAGGCCAAUAAAUUAUCUAGCUAGAUUUCUUGAUCAUUUUGUAGCUUAUUUGGGAUUUGUACAAUGAUCUUCUUUUAUCAUUUAAAUCAUUCUGUUUAUUGGAAGAGUUGCAAUUUUAUCUAU
Long non-coding RNA from Nicotiana attenuata, 595 nucleotides. RefSeq lists it as uncharacterized. The transcript is spliced from 3 exons. Lineage: Eukaryota; Viridiplantae; Streptophyta; Magnoliopsida; Solanales; Solanaceae. The record is from RefSeq and is a predicted model, not a curated record.